GAUGAACGCUGGCGGCGUGCUUAACACAUGCAAGUCGAACGGAAAAGCGCUGCUCUUGUGGCGCUCUCGAGUGGCGAACGGGUGAGUAACACGCGAGUAAACUGCCCUUGUCUUUGGGAUAACUUCAGGAAACUGGGGCUAAUAUCGGAUAGGAGCUACUGCAGCACGGUGGGGGUUAGAAAGUUUCGGCUGUGGUGGAUGGUAUCGCGGCUUACCCGCUUGAUGGUGAGGUUGGUGCUGACCAAGCCUAUGACGGGUAGCCGGCCUGGGAGGGUGACCAGCCACAUGGGGACUGAGGUACGGACCAGAAGCCUACCGGACGCAACAGUGGGGAAUAUUGCACAGUGGGGCGGAGCCAGAUACGGCAACGCCGCGUGCGGGAAAAUGUCCUUCGAGUUAUAAACCGCUUUCGCAGGUAACGAAGCGUGAGUGACGGUAAUGGGUAAAGAAGCACCGGCUAACUACGUG
RNAcentral lists this ribosomal RNA (468 nucleotides) under uncultured bacterium. RNAcentral describes it as "partial 16S ribosomal RNA". It matches the Rfam family "Bacterial small subunit ribosomal RNA", at positions 28 to 507 of the family's 1533-position model. The record is from RNAcentral.